This 468-nucleotide ribosomal RNA is filed under the name uncultured bacterium. Its description in RNAcentral is "partial 16S ribosomal RNA". It matches the Rfam family "Bacterial small subunit ribosomal RNA", at positions 28 to 507 of the family's 1533-position model. The record is from RNAcentral.
GACGAACGCUGGCGGCGUGCUUAACACAUGCAAGUCGAACGGAAAGGCCCUGCUUUUGUGGGGUGCUCGAGUGGCGAACGGGUGAGUAACACGUGAGUAACCUGCCCUUGACUUUGGGAUAACUUCAGGAAACUGGGGCUAAUACCGGAUAGGAGCUCCUGCUGCAUGGUGGGGGUUGGAAAGUUUCGGCGGUUGGGGAUGGACUCGCGGCUUAUCAGCUUGUUGGUGGGGUAGUGGCUUACCAAGGCUUUGACGGGUAGCCGGCCUGAGAGGGUGACCGGACUCAUUGGGACUGAGAUACGGCCCAGACUCCUACGGGAGGCAGCAGUGGGGAAUAUUGCACAAUGGGCGGAAGCCUGAUGCAGCAACGCCGCGUGCGGGAUGACGGCCUUCGGGUUGUAGACCGCUUUCGCCUGUGACGAAGCGUGAGUGACGGUAAUGGGUAAAGAAGCACCGGCUAACUACGUG